RNAcentral lists this ribosomal RNA (446 nucleotides) under uncultured bacterium. RNAcentral's name for it is "partial 16S ribosomal RNA". It matches the Rfam family "Bacterial small subunit ribosomal RNA", at positions 338 to 795 of the family's 1533-position model. The record is from RNAcentral.
CCUACGGGAGGCAGCAGUCGAGAAUUAUUCACAAUGGGGGAAACCCUGGUGGUGCGACGCCGCGUGGGGGAAUGAAGGUCUUCGGAUUGUAAACCCCUGUCAUGUGGGAGCAAAUUAAAAAGAUAGUACCACAAGAGGAAGAGACGGCUAACUCUGUGCCAGCAGCCGCGGUAAUACAGAGGUCUCAAGCGUUGUUCGGAAUCACUGGGCGUAAAGCGUGCGUAGGCUGUUUCGUAAGUCGUGUGUGAAAGGCGCGGGCUCAACCCGCGGACGGCACAUGAUACUGCGAGACUAGAGUAAUGGAGGGGGAACCGGAAUUCUCGGUGUAGCAGUGAAAUGCGUAGAUAUCGAGAGGAACACUCGUGGCGAAGGCGGGUUCCUGGACAUUAACUGACGCUGAGGCACGAAGGCCAGGGGAGCGAAAGGGAUUAGAUACCCGGGUAGUC